Non-coding RNA from Anas platyrhynchos (mallard), 6790 nucleotides. The record is from RefSeq and is a predicted model, not a curated record. Lineage: Eukaryota; Metazoa; Chordata; Aves; Anseriformes; Anatidae.
AUGCUGAACCAGUAUGUUUCAAUCCUUCAAAUCCUGCAAAAGGUGACCCAAUAGGCUUCUUGUACCAUGUUGCAGAGUGAGCUGAGUACAGUGAGCAAAUGGCUGUAUUUGGGAAUGGAAAUAAUUACUUUUUGGAUUCGCAAGCUGCAGCCAUGAAUUAUUUCCUGCACUCCUCUUGUCAGAAGAUACUGUUUUCUUAUUUCCAGCCAUGAGACUCUUUGUGUAGAUAGUGCUGGCUUCCAUGGCUAGAAUGAAUACGGCACUAUAAAGCUCCUUACAGACUUGAGUUGAAUUGUCCAAAUUCUUUUUGACUGGUGUCCUGUAACGACAAUGGCUAGACUUUUAAUUAAAUGUAUAUAAAAAUCCCCACCAACCUAUUUCUAGUCACUAACCUUUAGUAGGAAAUACCACUUUCUUUCCAAGACUUUCAUUUGGCAGCCUCUUAAGUAUUUUACUUUGAUUAAUUAAAACAUGCUAGUGUUUUUGUGUAGCAAGUCAGUUGGUUUUGCAAAUUCCAUGCAGGGGUUUAAAACUUCCAGAUCACUUUCUAGGCCACUUGUGUGUGAGCAAGGCUUGAAAACGAGAGUUUUCCCUAUUGCUGGGAUUCCACAGUAAAUGUCAGUAUGAAUAGAAUUAGAAUUUUUAUAUAUCACCACCCCUCUCUUCAGCUGUACGUAGGAAGCAAAAUACAUGUGCUAGCUAGUGGUAAAAUGUCAUGGCUCUGUUGUAAGCACUUGUGGCUAUAGCCCAGAUGUGGGGGUGAUAUUUUGUCUGCUAGAGGUCAGUUUAGAAAAGGGCAUGGAGAAAGGAGGGGAAGGUAAAGGAUGUUCUGUGAGCUAGAAAUGACGCUAGAGUUCUGUCUGCACUGGAAAGCUGCUCUUUGAGCCAUGCUGGUGCAUUUGGAAAGCACAGUCACACUUACAAAUUAGGAAAAUUGGAAUGGAAAUGAUAUUUACACAGGUAGUGUGUCCCUGUGGGUAGAAGUCAUCUUCAUGCCUGAAAGUGCAAGUGUCAGAGCUCUGUUUUUACAGAUGAGGUUAAUAAAGGUUCCCGUAGCUGUGCAGGACCAUCGAAACGAUGGCAGAGGCAUGGACACCGAAAAACAGCAGAACCACUUCUGGUUUUUAUUAGAAGGCAGCACAGAGGUAAUUAACAGACAGCUAAUUCUCUCCCCCACCCACAGCAGGAAGUGCUCUUCACUUCUUGUCGCAUCUUUGAGAGAUGGCCCCAUCUAUCCAGGAGCAGUUGGGUUGCAGUGACGUCUUUCUGGUCCUGUGUGAAGGACAGAGGAGUUGUCACGGAGCUGAAGGCGGUGAUGAAAGCUUGCAUUAAACACGAGGGGACGUGCUGAAGCCUACGGUCUACGUAAAGCAGAUGAUAACGUUCUGCAUCUUCCUCAAAACCUCUAUUAAUAGGGAUAAUGGAAAGAUCAUCCACUAAAUGUUUCAUGAAACAAAAGCCUCCAUUCGCAGAGCAAACAUGCUAAAUGUGUAACAGUUUUAUUUUUGACUGGUGAUCCUAUAUUUUUAAGAGCAAAAUGAAGGGGUAGAAUAAAGUUUCCCACAGCUCUUGGUUUUCUUCUUUCCCCACACAGUGUCUGGUAGCAGUACUUGCCAAAUUAGUUUUCCAUCUUAAUUAUUCCUGACAUUUUCUCCAGGAUGCUAUGAUCUACUUGAGGGAUUUGCAGUUUAACAUGCUAGUCAUUUUUUAUUGCAUGGAAAUGUGAACAGAAUAAAUUGGCGUUGGCUAUCUUUGUUGUGAACUAUUUAAUUUUGGAUGAUUGCAUCAAAGUGCAGGAAAGUUUUAGCAAGUUAAUAAAGUUUAAAUUGAAUUCUCCUAUAAACACUGCACUUGAAGGAUGUCAGCGAGUGUGGUAGGUUGAGUCUGUUCUUAAUUGUGAUAGGCUGAUAAGGGAAAAGUUGUAUUCCAAGUAUUGAUUUUAAAAAAAAGAAGAUACCUUCUGUGAAAUGGAGAAAUCCAAAUUGUGUCAGGAGGUAAUCUGAAAGAGUUCCACAAGCUUUUUGCCCUCAACUCAGCCUUUUCUGCUCUUAACUAUAGUUAAAAUCUAUAAUAUGAGAUUAUGUUGCUAGAUAACACCUAUAUUUUUAGGGCAGACCCUGCAUAAAGGAUGCUUAGGGCCAUAAUAUCUAUUCUUAAAGAGUAUCUUAAAGAAUAAUGGCACAUCCAGUUUAGGGAGCUUGUGAUAUGUAAGAAAUAUUUAAGUUGGUAUUAAAUAUUUAAGUCUGUAGAUUGGAUUUUCUGUAGUCAUUUUUCAGAAAAAUUAAAAUGAUGCUAUUAAAAGUUGAUUAUUCCUAUAUGUUCCUAUAGUUAAGGAGUAAAUUAAAGUUUCAAAAAUUAACAGGUUUGGAUGGUAAUGAAGCAAAACUUUUUAUUCUGAUUUAAAAAAAUUCAGAGCAGUGGAAUGAUUGAAACUGGGCUCGUAAUUUGGCUUGUGGCACACUACCCCACACUUUGGGUUUUGGUAACCGGGAAUCUGUGCAUUAAAUAAUGCAGGACCUACUGCUGGAUGCUGGGACCUCGUUGUGUUUCGAUGCUGGGACCUGGUUGUGUUUCCUUCCAUGGAGAUCCUCCAUGCAGGUCUUUCCUUCUGUCUUUCCUUCAGAAGCCUGAUAUUUGAGACUGUUUUUCAUUAUUCCACCCCCCAAAAAAAAGAAAAUAAAACCCACGUUUAAAAAUAGCUUAUAUGAACUUUCCUCAGUAUUUUUUUCCAUGAUUUGCUGCCUUUAAUUAAUGCCUAUAGAAACAAUUUAAUUGGGAAAUGAUACCUCUUGCUUGAUGUAGUCAAGCAACAAAGUGCACAUGUUGGAGACCAGAUACAGAAGUUUUAUGGUUUGCUUAAAUGGAAGGGGGCUGAGGGGGAACCUAAAGCCUUCAGGAACAUUACAGUUGCAUCAUGCACAAAGAGUGUGCAAUUAAAUAAGCAAUUAGUUAUGGAUUGUUCACUCUGCUUGACUGUUGGAUAUUUGAGUAGCACGUUAACCUUGAAAUGACUGCUUUUAUAGCCCUUAUUGUUCGCCAAUAAAUUAAGUCUGCAUUAAAAAAAAAACACACCACUCUUCCUGGGCUUGAUGUUGGAAAGGAAUUUCACUGCUGUUUGCUGUGUGCUUGUUGUAUUGCAUCUGGGAGACUGAGGCAUCACAGCAGUGUCAGCUGGAUGGAAGAUGAUCUUCUCUGCCUAAAAUACUUCUGAAUAACAAUGGAAGGAGUUGGGGGGAAGGAAGAGACAAAGCCCUUUCCUUUAAAAAGUGGCAAAGUUUUGCAAGGAAAUUAAAGGUCAGUCAUUUUUCACCAGUCUCUGUAAGAGCACAGAACCUUCCUCUGAUCGUCCUGUGAGUCCAUGAUGACCUCCAGCACCUUUCAGUCUGCUCCCAGCACCAAGUGGUAGAAAGGCUUUAGUGUCACCCACCUAUUGCAGCAGGUAAGGAGAGAAAUAUGGCACAACACCAUUCAACACGAUCAGCUGGUGAAGUGCACUCACUUGAGCCGAAAUGUGGUACUUGCUUAUUCAGCAAAGGAUUUAGAUGUGCACUGAACCUGGUCAACUUCUGUGACUUUUCCAUGGUUGUAGCUGGCACCAUGUUGCUUGUGUAAAUUGGCAGUAACUGGAGGGUGUUGUUGGUGUAAAAUUAAUGUAAUUGGGUUUGAACUGAGCCAGCUUUUCUGACCAGUUUACAUAAUUCACCCUCUUUGCUUUGUCCAGCAGAAAAAGCUUUGCUCAGCUUCGGAUGUCUUGGCAUCCAAUUUUACUUCAGUCUUGUCGAACAAAGUAAUUCAUGUUUUUAUUUCUUGUUUUUAACUUCCUGUCAUUGACUGAUACAUUCCUGCCUGGUCUCCUUUCUAGUUCCCAUAGAAAUAAAGGCAAGACAGAGGGAGUUCAGAGAUGCUGGUUGCUGUCACAUAUACACACGUCUAUGCCCUGUUGCCUAAACCCAUUACUGCAUUACCUGGGUAGAGUAGUCUUUCUAUUUGACUGCACAACCUAAGCAAUCUGAGGUGAUUGCUAUUAAAUGCCUCCUUACAUUUCUCAAUACAAUCAAUCAUCAAAUAAAUUCCAGACGUAGUCAAACAAUCGGAAGUGAGCACAUCUGAAAGCAAUGAACUGUGCAGAACCAUGGAUACCACAAGAACCUGAAACCCCCCAGCACCUUCUGUGUGAGAUUGGUUCAUGAAAUUGAUGGAGACAGUCAGGUUUUAUAUCAUCUGCUAUUUGCCUUGGAGCUGACAUCCUGUCCUCUUCAGCAGUUGAAAUAUUUUUUGAUUAUUCUUUCUCUUUUUGCUGGGUGUGAUCCCAAGGGUGGCUGUCAUGCUUUUCUUUUUUUUUUCCUUUUGCAUUUUUUGUUGAUAGAAAAAGGAAACAAGACCAAAAACAUCUUGUUUUCUGAAGACUGCUAGUGUUUGAAGUGCUGAUAAAGUUAUACUCUUUAUUAUUGUGUUAUAUCAAAAGGAGAGGAAAGGGGAAAUGCUGAAAAAGGUUAGUCAAAAUAGAGAAGAGUGUUUUUUUUUUUUCCUGGUUUCACCUUUGUAUUCUUUUUUCUUAUAAUAACAUGCAACAGUGCAUUACACCAAGCCAUAAUAGCAGAGUCACUUAGCAGAAAGAAAAGCUGAAGAAAACGCCACCUUUAUUGUGAAAGAGUUCAUUUUCUCUCUCCUUUCCUAUGCUAAUAAAAGCAAGUCAUUUCUCAACAGACACUGCAUUGGCUUCAGGGAUCUGGUACUGGGGCAAAUACUGUGCUUGGCAGUGUUUAAAACCUAGGAUAAGCUCCUUAGCUGUUGCAUAGUGGGAAAGAGUUGUUUCUCCUAGGGAUUAACGAAAUGAUACUUGGUAUGUUAAGAGAUCUAGCCAUAGGGAUUAUGCUGAUCUGCAAUUGAAAUAUUCAGUAUGCUGUAGGGUUAGGAACAUUUAUGGCUAUAAGACACAUUAGGAAUCUUCCUGUUUUCAGCUCCCUAGGCUUGGUAGUUACAACAGGUGUCAGAUAUGAAAGAAAGAUCAGGUCUCUGAUUGCACUUAGCAAUUUCUGUACUCUAAUAGAGAGACAGAGAGCUAGGAAGGCAGAUGCCCCUGCACACCAUCAACUGAUCUCAUUACAAAUGCAGAAUGAAGUUUUCAUUGCUUAAAGGGGAAGAGCUGGUGUUUGAAUUCAAAAUAAAUCAGAAAUAUUAAUGUAUUCAAGAAAUGAGUUUAAUGAUGUAUUUAAAAACUAUUAAAUUAAUGUUUCUCAUUAGCGGCACAGCCUAAUCACACUUCGCAAGCAGGGGGAAGAAAGUAAAGCAAUAUCGUAAAAGAUCAAACAGUGAUUCAAAAUUAAUUAAUCCAGCAUUAUAUAAAUCAGGUAGCUUCAAUAAAAAUACUAGUUGAGGAUUCAGUUCUUAUGGGCAAAAUUAAAAAUAAAAAAAAAUGCCUUAAUUAGUGCUUUUUCAUUCAAUCCAGCUGACCUAUUUAUUUUUAAUUGAGCUACAGGGUGCUAAACAUUCAGUGAAAGUGAUAAUUGCAGUAGUAAACUUUAUAACGUUUCCCUUUGGACUUAGUACCUUGUUUUCUGCAGAAUACCUCAGAAUAGUGGAGAAAAUUGAUACCCUGCUGUUCUGAGAGUUGCUGUUCUCCGGAUGCUGACCUGCUUCGUGGUAUGGAAAUACCCUGUGGCUCUUGACACCGUAGUUUUGAACGUGCUAAGAUUUAUUUUGCAGGACAGUGGUAUGUGAACUAACUACCAAAAAAAAAAAAAAAAGAAAAAGAAAAACUAAAAAAAAGAUAUUAUUGGAUGUUGUUAUUAAAUUAGCUUUAAUACUUCGGAAAAUUAAGAAUAUGUUAUAUGUGACAACUUCUGUAACAUAUUACUUCUAUAUUUUCUACAUUAUGUUCAUGCCCAUAUACCAUCUUUACACUGAUCUUGUUUGUACUCCUAGAAGCAGACAAGGUGUCCUGAAACAGUUUUGCUCUUCUAGCUAAAUGAGGGAGGAGAACAGGAUCAGAGAGAGCAUGAAGAAAGGGCACACAUCAUUCCAUGGAGCUCAUCAUCUGCACUGAACUGCGUUUUCAUGGCCAGGGAUGUGAACUGGAGCUGAAUGAACUGGUGUGAAACUGCAGCAAGAAAUUGCAGUAUCAUUUUCAUAAGAUUGUAACCGUGGGCAACACAAAAUAUGAGGAUUGACUUCCUGAAUAUACAGAACAACCCCACUGCUGCUGCUGGAGUCACUGCUGUGUUACGGUCAGCAGGUGCCACUUCAGACACAGCUCUCGUGCUCCUGUUUGCUUCUUUUCCAGUUAACUCUGCAGCCCAGUCAGCCAGCCACAAACUGCUGGGUGGUCCAUCUGUUGAACUGACCAGAGGGCGCUGCUUAUUCAAUCGGACGUGUUGUCUGUGAUACCUGCUGUACUGAAUGCCAAACGAGGUGCCACAGCCAUCAGAAAGGAACAGAAGGAGUUGUUAAAGGUUCACUAAGCCACCCAGCCGUUUCCGUAGCAUGGGACACCUUUGCUGAUGUAAUGAUAUUCAUGAAAGGACCAAAGCACAAAGAAAGGGAAUCUAAUAAAUACCUGAACUUCAGAAGGCAGAAUAUCACAGCAGGUCAUUUUUCUAAAUUAUUUAAGCACAGUGUUUGCUAUGCGCUUCUACCAUUUCUCAGGAAAUCCACCGCAUGGAACCAAUAGAUGCUUUUGAGCUCAAAACAAGCAGAGAAUGAGGUAGCUCUUCAUUGCCUUACAGUGUUGUUUUGUGAUUCUGCCCAAUUCCUAUAAUGGGAUUCACAGAAAGGGUAAAAGGACGCUUAA